UACAGAGGUCUCAAGCGUUGUUCGGAUUCAUUGGGCGUAAAGGGUGCGCAGGCGGUUAUAUAAGACAGAUGUGAAAUCCCCGGGCUCAACCUGGGAACUGCGUUUGUGACUGUAUGACUAGAGUACGGUAGAGAGGGGUGGAAUUCCUGGUGUAGCAGUGAAAUGCGUAGAUAUCAGGAGGAACAUCGAUGGCGAAGGCGGCCCCUUGGACCUGUACUGACGCUCAUGCACGAAAGCGUGGGGAGCAAACAGG
This 253-nucleotide ribosomal RNA is filed under the name uncultured bacterium. RNAcentral describes it as "partial 16S ribosomal RNA". It matches the Rfam family "Bacterial small subunit ribosomal RNA", at positions 524 to 776 of the family's 1533-position model. The record is from RNAcentral.